ACAACUUCUAAAAUAAGUUAAAUAAUGUCUCAAAAAUACAACUCUAAUAUAUGUAUGUAUAUAACGCACAUUUUAGGGGUUGUGUCGUCGGUGGAUUCUGAGUUCGAAACGGACCCCUUGCGAAACAUAUCCAUUGUCGGUUCCUAUGCCCG
This is a long non-coding RNA of Drosophila sulfurigaster albostrigata, 152 nucleotides long. RefSeq lists it as uncharacterized. The transcript is spliced from 2 exons. The record is from RefSeq and is a predicted model, not a curated record. Lineage: Eukaryota; Metazoa; Arthropoda; Insecta; Diptera; Drosophilidae.